AUGCCAUUGCAGGAGAACUAUGAACAGAUGAAAGGACUUGUUAAUCAACUGAAAUCUACAGUAUCGCAGAUUGCACAGGGUGGAGGAGAGAGGAGUAUAGCGCGACAUGUUUCACAAGGAAAGAUGCUCGUCAGAGAGCGAAUAACAAAUCUUUUAGACCCAGGAUCUCCAUUCAUGGAACUUUCUCAGUUAGCUGGCCAUGAGUUGUAUGGUGAAGAAGAGGUACCAGCAGGCGGCAUUGUUACUGGUAUUGGUAGAAUAUCAGGGACAGAGUGUAUGAUUGUUGCUAAUGAUGCUACUGUGAAAGCUGGUACCUACUACCCGAUCACUGUGAAGAAACAUCUCAGAGCUCAGGAAAUUGCCAAGGAAAAUAAUUUGCCCUGCAUCUAUCUUGUGGACUCGGGUGGGGCUAAUCUUCCGAGACAGGAUGAAGUGUUUCCAGGGAAAGAACACUUUGGUAGAAUCUUCUUUAACCAAGCCACUAUGUCUGCUGCAAGAAUACCACAGAUUGCGAUAGUUCUCGGUAGCUGUACUGCAGGUGGAGCAUAUGUUCCAGCCAUGGCAGAUGAGAGCAUCAUUGUCAGAAAACAGGGAACAAUCUUUCUAGCUGGACCUCCUCUUGUGCAUGCUGCAACAGGCGAGAUGGUAUCCGCUGAAGAUCUAGGGGGAGCCGAUCUCCAUUGCAGGUCAUCAGGUGUUACAGACCAUUACGCCAAUGAUGAGAAUCAUGCACUCUAUCUUGCCAGGAGAGCUGUGGCAAAUUUGAACAGAAAAAAAGAAGUCAAUAUACCAGUGUUGAAGCCUAAGGAGCCCCUGUACUCCGCAGAUGAAUUGUAUGGCAUUGCAUCGGUGGAUUUCAGUAAGGUUUACGACAUCAGGGAAGUGAUUGCAAGAAUUGUAGAUGAGAGUGUCUUUGAUGAGUUUAAGCAGCAGUAUGGAGACACCAUAGUGACAGGUUUUGCUCACAUCCACGGCUACCCUGUUGGUAUUCUUGGUAAUAAUGGAGUUCUGUAUUCAUCAAGUGCCCUCAAAGCAACGCAUUUCAUUGAGCUGUGCUGUCAGAGAAAGAUCCCUCUUCUCUUCCUCCAAAAUAUCACAGGUUUUAUGGUUGGCAGAGAAGCAGAAGCCGGGGGUAUAGCUAAGAACGGAGCUAAGAUGGUUACAGCGGUAGCUUGUGCUAAGGUGCCUAAGAUCACAGUCAUUGUUGGGGGCUCCUUUGGGGCAGGAAACUAUGGCAUGUGCGGCAGAGCUUACAGUCCACGUUUCCUGUACAUGUGGCCUAAUGCUAGGAUCUCAGUGAUGGGAGGUAAACAAGCUGCCCUUGUUUUGUCUCAAGUCAUGGCUGCACAGAGGAAGAGAGAAGGUUUAGAGCUUAGUAAAGAAGAGGAGGAAGCAAUUAUGGCUCCAAUCUUAGAGAAGUAUGAGAAGGAAGGAAGCCCCUACUAUUCAAGUGCGAGGUUAUGGGAUGAUGGUGUCAUAGAUCCAGCUGAUACGAGGAAGGUCCUGGCCCUGAGUCUUAGUGCUGCACUCAAUGCUAAAGUACCAGAAACGCCAUUUGGUGUAUUCAGAAUGUAGAUCCUCAUUUAUAUUAUCAAUACCACAUGGGAAAGAUCUUCUUGGGGUUUUUUUUUUUUUUAUUCCAGUUGAUGUACACUGUAUAGUGCGCAUGAGGCCCGAGUUCAUCAUGUUGGAGUAUCGGAUUCCAAUCAACGAAAUGCCAUCUAAAUCCAGAAUUGAUUACUGUGACUCUACCUGAGCUUUACAUGGUGAUGGAUCAAUAUCGAAUGCCUCGUAUUCUGUUGUCAUUUUUGUUACUGGCUGUUUAGUAAUGGUUUCCUGAUGUAACAACUUGUCAUUACAUCACAUCAAGUAAGCAACAACAUGUGAACUUUAUAACUAGAAUAGCAGGGUGAUCCAAAAUAAUCCUUAUUUUCAAGUUGAGCAUGUUAACUUCCAAAUUGCAUGUGAAGAGUGUGCAUCACUAAAGUGCAAUGAAAUUGAAUUAUAUUUGCAAAUUUGGAACAAAUAGCACUGCAGCAUAUAUAUAUUUUUGUAUAUAUGAUUAGACAUGUUCAUGUUUUCAUGUUAUAAGGAGCUGUCACUGUGAUGAUUUAUUAGCCUCCUUUUGGGGGAGCAAAACUAAGUGAUCCUCCUCAUACGUCCAGCUUCCAUUAUUCUCCGUCGGAUAAAAAGAAGUUUUGCAAAUCCUUUGAAACUGUGGUUGAUUUUUCAUGGGAGAUCAACAUGUGUUUGUUUGGAUGGUGAAGAUCAACUACAGAUUUCAAUUUAUUUUUGACCAGAUUAGUCUAGUACAUGUGGUAUUAGGCUAUCUGAGAAGCAGAGCAACUACUUGUAGCCAAGUUUAAUAUAAAAAAAAUUCACAUAAAUGUGAUCACAUAAGUGAAUAGAAAUGUUAGAAAUAUUAGAAAUGUUGACAUUUCAGCAUGAGAAAGUAAACAGUGCUGCUGUUACAUUGCGUUGCACGAUUAAGGUGAGACCACCAAGAGCUUUACAUUUGUUUCAUGAAAUGAAAGUAAUCCAUAUUUGUAUGUCAUAUUCAUGUUGAUUUUUUUUUUUGUAAUUUAAUACAUGCGAGCAAGUUGUAACCUUGUUAUGAUAUCACACAUACGCGUUAAUCCUGAGAGAUCGGUCGACCACAGUGUACUGUACACCAUGCAUCAAUCACACUGUCUCUCUUUUAAAGUGAUUACAGGGUGCUACAUAAGCACUUGCCCGAUUGCCCGGGGCAAGUAAAAGUUAGAGUCCGGCAAGUGUUUUGAAGUAAAGACCAAAACUACUUGCCCGAAUUGGGCAAGCAAAAUUCUCACAGUAGAAUGACCAAAAUUAGGGUAGAUAUGAUAUGAUAUUGACACUAAUUAUGGUCAUGGCAGGCAAGAUAAAAUAAGGUAGAUCAGUUCAUGUCAAAAGAGAGAAAAAGGUCAAUGGUUUAUAAACCCACAAAACUUUCUUUGGAAGAGGUAAAACUUCUUUUUUCAAGAAUUUUUUCAGGCAAGUGAAAAAGAUUUUUGGGAAAGUAUAUUCCCACUAUUUGAAAAUUUACUUGCCCAACUGGGCAAGUGCUUCUAAAAAGUUAUGUAACACCCUGGAUUACAAACCACAUUUAAACAUGACAGUUUUCCACUUGAAGUUCCACUGAUCAAUCUCAAUUCUUCCAGUGCUUGAGAUUCACACUUCUUUCAUUGUUCAAUUAUGACUUUUGGCCCAUGCUAUCUUGAAUGUCUUUGGAAAAAGUGGUCGACCCACAAGCCUCUCAUAAUAAUGAAUGUUAUAUUGGUAAUGCAUGUAUUAUGAAACAUACAAAUUUGGAUCUCUUUCAUACUGUCUUUAAAUGUAAUUCCAGCUAUGGUAUCUUAAAAUGAGAAAGGAAAAAAAUCCAAUAAAAAACAUUCUUCCUAGUGUUUGUAUUUAUAACUUUACGGUAUAUCACAUGGUCAUGGUAGAUGUAAUUGCUGAGAAAUUAGCAAUAUAAACAUGACAUUCCUGUAUGGUUCUUUUUUUUUUCAAGCAAUAAUAAUGCAUGUAUUCACAUUUGCUUUCAAUCUUUGUUGCCAAUCUAAGUGUGCUCGCUUUUCAGAAUAGAUUAAUCGAUUUUUUCACAAAGUUUAUUUUGCGUAACUUUACUAGUUCAAGGUCUACGGUGAUAUUGUAACAAUGGAGCCAACGUUUAAAGACUUAUCAUGAAAUUAAUGCUUGCUGCAGCCUAUUGACAUUGAUACAUCCAUUUUGAUUAAUUUCAUUUGUACCAAGAUUAUGUUAAAAAUGUAAAAUGUUAAUGUAUUCAGAUGUUGUUUAUUUCAAUUGUAAAUAUUAUUGGAUUAAUAAACCAUUGCUGCAUCUAAUUGGAUCUUGCUUUUAAGUAGCAUAAAUCAUAUCUCAUUGCUGAGAUACAAGACAAAAAAACUGCAGAAUCACAGCACUGAUGGUAUUGAAGUUAGAAGGUGUGUAAUCUCCAUGAAAUAGCUCAUUCUUAAGAUAUUAAUCUCCCAACCAUUUGAUGGAUCAAAUUCAAACUUUAGCUAUAGAUUCAUAUGGAACUAGCGAUGAUAUGAUUACAUUUCAUAUCUGGGAAUGUUUCACAAAGAUUCAAGUGUGACGUUAAUAAAGUGAUGCCUAUUAAAGUUCCAAUGCAGAUCUAACCCAUAACCUCAUUCAUUAAAGGGGAAUCCAACCCAAAUAAAAACUUAUUUUAAUAAGAAAGAGAAAAAUCAGAAAAGUUGAUAGGUUAAAGUUUGAACAAUAUUGGACAAACAACAAGAAAGUUAUGAAUUUUUAAAAGUUGUAAAUAUUGGUAAUCACUAUACCCAUGGAGACUUCAAAUUGGCCGCAUAUGGGGUGUCAUAGUGAUGUAAGGCAAGGACUACUCUUCCAUGUACUCCAAUACAUAUUAUGGCUAAAAUGUCAUUUUUCCCAAAAGUUUUAUUUCAAAUUAUAUUUUUCUUUCAUGAGGACAUAAAACAAUAUACUACCUGGGUUAUAUUUAGAUUACUGCCCCAGGGGAAUGGGUACUUAGGAGAAAACCACAAAUCCCUGAUAAUAAAGUACAUGGCCUAUGGAAAAGUUGUCCUUGCCCCUUGUCAUCAUUUACUUACCCAGUUGCCAAUUUGAAAUCUACAUACUAUUAGUGAUCUCAAUUUUAAAGCAGCUAUAACUUUCUUAUUGCUUGUCCGAUUUCUUUCAAACUUUCACCAUUCUAUUUAAUUUAUUUUUCUCCUUCCCAACACAACAUUUUAUGGCCAAGGCUGGAUUCCCCUUUAAUGAAUGGGAUCUGAACAAUGCAGUGAUAGAUCAAUAAUAAUAAUAUUAACGGUAGCCACUUCAGUUCCAAAAACUGCUCUCCCAGCCUCCCCUGCUAUUAUUAUUAUAAUUAUAUGUAUACCACAUGCAACUGGGAAUUUUAGUGUGAUUUUUUUUUUAGUCAUACCCCCCGUCACAGGUUAUGCUGGCCAUUGAUUAUCUAGGUAGUUCCACAAUCAUUAGAGUGGACACAGUGCCCAAGCAUUUAACUCUUUGCACACUGAAUUAAUUUUGGGGAGAUAAUAAUGACAAAUGUUUCCAUGUUAUUUUCAUUAAUUCAAGAUUUCCAUACUGCGCAAUUGAUACUUUUUAUUAUUGUAUAGAUGUUAUCCAAGAACUAUUGCCUUUUGUUAGCUUAUCUAAUGUGAAGGUAGGGGAGAAAAUUGAUUAUUAGUACGAUUUCGGAAUUUAAUUGUACAAAUGUGCAAGAUUGCAACAUCAGUGUGCAAAGGGUUUAAGGAACUGUGGUCAUCCAAAUAACAUUAUGACCUGGGUUCUGUAACACAUAGGGUAGUGAUUUAAUUGUACGCUUGAUUUUCAUGAUUACUUAUACAUUGUAGUCAAUGCAGUCAAUCAU
RNA transcript from Lytechinus pictus (painted urchin), 5392 nucleotides. It is a transcript of the gene named methylcrotonoyl-CoA carboxylase beta chain, mitochondrial-like, with no coding region annotated. The record is from RefSeq and is a predicted model, not a curated record. Lineage: Eukaryota; Metazoa; Echinodermata; Echinoidea; Temnopleuroida; Toxopneustidae. The transcript has 14 exons.